RNAcentral lists this long non-coding RNA (1365 nucleotides) under Vulpes vulpes (red fox). Its description in RNAcentral is "lncRNA (ENSVVUG00000017814.1)". Lineage: Eukaryota; Metazoa; Chordata; Mammalia; Carnivora; Canidae. The record is from RNAcentral.
CUUCACUGAAAAACAAAAAUGCUUUCUGAGUACUAACCAAUAAAACUAAUCUUAUCUCUUCUUCCCAGAUGGUGCAAUAAAGACCUAAAAAUAUCAAAGAAGUUUUCUAAAACAUUACAAGUAAGUGGAAGAAAGAGGAAUAGGGGACCUUAACUCCUCAUUCUAGGAUUAGUAGACUGCAAUUUGUGACUGCAGGUGUGAGGUGAGGUACAUAACUUGAAGAUUAUCGCAGUAUGGUGGCUUAUCGUGACUUGUUAAAGUAGACUGAUGAAUAACAAGCUCUUUCUUUUGACAUUUUCUAGAAUGGCCUUUUGAAAUGGACCCGAUGAAGUUUGUCCUUGCCAGGUCUCCUGUACCCUUUGCCCAGUGCUCCCAUGCCUGUCAAAUAUGUCAAAAACAGAGGGGAUUUUCAUCAGUUGUGUUGGCUCCUUCCUUCACUUCCUGGAACUCAUGUGAGAAUGCACGUCCCCCCCCCCACUGGAAGCAAUUUACUAUGGUAAUAUUGGAGAGUACUGUAAAUAAUCCUGAUUGCAGUGCCCAGAAAGCUUUAUAAUCAGAGAGACCACGUGAAUACAAACUGUGACCGUUUCAAAGGCAAUUUCCUGACCACCACCUCAAAGCACAUGUCAGACACAAAAGUUGUGCCAAUCUACGAGCUCCAAUUGAAAUGAUAGAGUUCACUGCAAGUUCAGCCUGAAUUGGGCUUAAAUGAAAUGAAAUUGAUAGCAGAUGAAAGCUCAACAGGUUGCAGAAUAAUUAUAUACUUGUUACGAUGUUCUCACUAAUUGGAGCACUAGCUCAGUGAACCUCAUCUUCUGGAACUGCUACUGGGGUAACUGGCAGACACAUCUGUUUGGUACGAAUCUGCAUAUUUGCUCAUUUGCCAAAAAUGUAAAGUGGAGCCCUGAAUUAGUUUCAGUUCGCUUCAUCACUUCCAAGCUGAAGAAUCAGCGGAAUAUAUCACAGUGCUUCCCCCCUCCCCUCGACAUGCCAGAUUACAUCCACAAGUGAACGUUCACAAAAGGCAACCUUAAGAAGCAGGCUGUCUGCAAUGGUGAUGGACAGAGACGCCUACACCCUCUGCAUGAACAUGUACUGCUCUCAUUUAUCUAACUAGGGGCCCCGUGCUCAUACCAAAGGGACGGCUGAUAAAAAGACACUCUCGAGAAGCUCUUAUUUUCAAGAUGAAGGUGAAACUUGUAUUUUCUUAAAGGAAGGCCCCUUUGGCUCAUAUUUCAUUCCCUUUGGCAAUGUGUGCAUUCAUAGAUAAGUAUUUUCCUCGUGUCUUCAAACGUUGUGCUUCUAACCGAAUUAAAGUUCAACCUUCAUUAAUCCCGGUGGGGUUCUCUCUAAAAUAACUUGUCG